CUUUUCUUGAUGUUUUGUUACCAUAUUUUCCUUUUUCUGGUGUUCCUUUUUAUUUUCCUUUUCUUUGGUGUUCCCAUCACGUGGAUUGUCUACGACAUCUAACGAGCACCACAAGUCCCGGUUUAUUGUUCGGAGUUUGCUCUCCUAGGCAGACUGCCUACCACGGCUGACGAGCUCCACCUGCCCGGGUUUAUUGUUCGGAGUUUGCUCUCCUAGGCAGACUGCCUACCACGGCUGACGAGCUCCACCUGCCCGGGUUUAUUGUUCGGAGUUUGCUCUCCUAGGCAGACUGCCUACCAUGGCUGACGAGCUCCACCUGCCCGGGUUUUAUGAUCGGAGUUUGCUCUCCUAGGUGUAUUACCUAUGACGGCUCACGAGCCCAACCUGCCCGGGUUUAUUGUUCGGAGUUUGCUCUCCUAGGUGUAUUACCUAUGACGGCUCACGAGCCCAACCUGCCCGGGUUUGUAAUCGGAGUUUGCUCUCCUAGGUGAACUGCUCACGCUAACGACCUCCACCUGCCCGGUUUUGUAAUCGGAGUUUGCUCUCCUAGAUGAACUGCUUUCGCUAACGACCUCCACCUGCCCGGGUUUAUUGUUCGGAGUUUGCUCUC
Molecule: long non-coding RNA, 610 nt
Organism: Eriocheir sinensis (Chinese mitten crab)
Lineage: Eukaryota; Metazoa; Arthropoda; Malacostraca; Decapoda; Varunidae
Exons: 3
Source: RefSeq, a predicted model, not a curated record